GUCCUCGUAAAAAAACCUGGAAGACGCAAUACGCGUCACGCAACCUGCUCUCGCCGCCGCGGCCUAAUCCCCGCGGCCGUCCCCCCGGCAGGGCCGACGGGCCGGGACGGGGCGUCAUGAGUCGGCUGCGUCGCGCCGCUCCGCCCCCGGUGGCGUGACUAAGACCGGUGGGGCUGGUGCCCGGGGGAUCCCGCCUGCGGGAGCCUCCGGGUGCGAGAGGAAAACGCAGGCUACGCUCGUAGACGCUCUGCCCUCACUCACCUCGGACGCGGGUUCGAUUCCCGCCGCCUCCACCA
Molecule: transfer-messenger RNA, 296 nt
Filed under: Pseudomonadota bacterium
Lineage: Bacteria; Pseudomonadati; Pseudomonadota
Also listed under: 1 other name
Description: partial transfer-messenger RNA
Rfam family: transfer-messenger RNA
About the family: Bacterial tmRNA, also known as 10Sa RNA or SsrA, is named for its dual tRNA and mRNA-like properties. Its role is to liberate the mRNA from a stalled ribosome. To accomplish this part of the tmRNA is used as a reading frame that ends in a translation stop signal.
Source: RNAcentral